This 494-nucleotide ribosomal RNA is filed under the name uncultured bacterium. RNAcentral's name for it is "partial 16S ribosomal RNA". It matches the Rfam family "Bacterial small subunit ribosomal RNA", at positions 28 to 507 of the family's 1533-position model. The record is from RNAcentral.
GACGAACGCUGGCGGCGUGCUUAACACAUGCAAGUCGAACGGUGAAGCGCCUUCCUUUUUGGUGGGUGUGGAUGAGUGGCGAACGGGUGAGUAACACGUGAGUAACCUGCCCCCUUCUUCUGGAUAACCGCAUGAAAGUGUGGCUAAUACGGGAUAUUCUGGGUCUGUCGCAUGAUGGGUCUGGGAAAGAUAUUGUUUCGGUGGGGGAUGGGCUCGCGGCCUAUCAGCUUGUUGGUGGGGUGAUGGCCUACCAAGGCGGUGACGGGUAGCCGGCCUGAGAGGGUGGACGGUCACACUGGGACUGAGACACGGCCCAGACUCCUACGGGAGGCAGCAGUGGGGAAUAUUGCACAAUGGGCGCAAGCCUGAUGCAGCGACGCCGCGUGAGGGAUGGAGGCCUGCGGGUUGUGAACCUCUUUCGCCAGUGAAGCAGGCCUGCCUCGUUUGUGGGUGGGUUGACGGUAGCUGGAUAAGAAGCGCCGGCUAACUAUGUG